This 818-nucleotide ribosomal RNA is filed under the name Psychrobacter sp. ECNN1_III. RNAcentral's name for it is "bacterial SSU rRNA". It matches the Rfam family "Bacterial small subunit ribosomal RNA", at positions 76 to 890 of the family's 1533-position model. RNAcentral also lists the same sequence under 33 other names. Lineage: Bacteria; Pseudomonadati; Pseudomonadota; Gammaproteobacteria; Moraxellales; Moraxellaceae. The record is from RNAcentral.
AAGCUUGCUUCUCGCUGACGAGCGGCGGACGGGUGAGUAAUACUUAGGAAUCUACCUAGUAGUGGGGGAUAGCUCGGGGAAACUCGAAUUAAUACCGCAUACGACCUACGGGAGAAAGGGGGCAACUUGUUGCUCUCGCUAUUAGAUGAGCCUAAGUCGGAUUAGCUAGAUGGUGGGGUAAAGGCCUACCAUGGCGACGAUCUGUAGCUGGUCUGAGAGGAUGAUCAGCCACACCGGGACUGAGACACGGCCCGGACUCCUACGGGAGGCAGCAGUGGGGAAUAUUGGACAAUGGGGGCAACCCUGAUCCAGCCAUGCCGCGUGUGUGAAGAAGGCCUUUUGGUUGUAAAGCACUUUAAGCAGUGAAGAAGACUCCAUGGUUAAUACCCAUGGACGAUGACAUUAGCUGCAGAAUAAGCACCGGCUAACUCUGUGCCAGCAGCCGCGGUAAUACAGAGGGUGCAAGCGUUAAUCGGAAUUACUGGGCGUAAAGCGAGCGUAGGUGGCUUGAUAAGUCAGAUGUGAAAGCCCCGGGCUUAACCUGGGAACGGCAUCUGAUACUGUUAGGCUAGAGUAGGUGAGAGGAAGGUAGAAUUCCAGGUGUAGCGGUGAAAUGCGUAGAGAUCUGGAGGAAUACCGAUGGCGAAGGCAGCCUUCUGGCAUCAUACUGACACUGAGGUUCGAAAGCGUGGGUAGCAAACAGGAUUAGAUACCCUGGUAGUCCACGCCGUAAACGAUGUCUACUAGUCGUUGGGUCCCUUGAGGACUUAGUGACGCAGCUAACGCAAUAAGUAGACCGCCUGGGGAGUACGGCCGCA